GCCACUUAUUAUGAUGGAAGUGGGCUGGGCUGGCUGGAGGAAAUGAAUUGAAAUGUGGCUGAGCAGUAAACACCAAUCGGGAUGGCAACAUGGAUAUUUUUGGACACGCAAAUCUGAAUGGUAUCUUGAUUGUGCGAGGACUUUUCUUGCAGAUUUGGUACUUGUGGUAGGUUUUUACACGGAGGAGCCCCAAAAGGCUUGAGUGGAGGUGGAAUGAUUUGUAAUGAGAAAAUGACAGCGGACCUAGUCCUUGGAAUCUGAGUAGAAUCCUUAACAAACCGAAAAUCAUGAAGCGGUCGUGUUGUGUUGUCUUGUUCAUUCCCGUGGCCAGAAAAUGGUUUAGAAUUGUCAUAUAACAAGUUCAGUCUGUCUUUUGAUUGAAGGAAUAUUAGAAGUAGAAGAACAAUUUGUUGAUUGACUUGUAUGGAUUGAAAAGAUUUGUUAGAUGCAUAAUAAAUUAAUUCAUGUCCAUCAUAAGGUUUGUUGGAUCAUGCUUUGAAAGGUCU
RNAcentral lists this long non-coding RNA (506 nucleotides) under Vitis vinifera (wine grape). RNAcentral describes it as "long non-coding RNA (VVIN_LNC008017)". Lineage: Eukaryota; Viridiplantae; Streptophyta; Magnoliopsida; Vitales; Vitaceae. The record is from RNAcentral.